UCUUCCAGUGGGACCAAGGCAGCGAAGGAUAUGGACCACUUCUCCUGGGGACCAAUACUGCACCGAGCAUUUACCCUACCUCGUGACUGGGCUACCAUUCCACAAACACUUGAGGACCCUGGUUCCACCCGAAAGUUGGACGCUUUGUGACGUGUUUUAAUUUUGAAUAUUUACCACAAUAGUGGGAGGGGGGGGAUGCAAAUAACCAUGUUGAUUAAUUUAUUUUCUUCACUGAUUUUUCCUUUAGUAAAAAUAUUAAAUUCCAGUUAUACUGAAGGGGAACAAUUGAGGUGUUUGUAUAAUGGUGAUGCUGUCCGGUUGUGUAACUUCCUAGUUGUCUGAUACCUUUGAAUAUUGUGUAACACUAAUCGAAGAUGUUAUUUGCUGGUGUACUUUGACAUGUGACGUCAUUAACCCUAAGAGUACUCUCGGCUUCCGAGAACCUACCUGCAUUCAUCUUAACAGGUAGGUUCCUGCCACGUACUGGACUAAACUGUCCAGAGAGGAAGGCCAGGUUAUAAGAUAUCUAAUCGUAACGGGCGAACUGCUAUAAUAAUACAGUGACACUAUACUGUGAGGUUAAAAUUGACUCUGGUUCUUGCUCAAUGGCCAGCAAAAUGUCCUGUUCGAUCGGCGGGCAAGAAGCCUGGGAUGGAUUGGCCAUCGUAAUCUGCCACCGAUUAUCGCUGAGCUCCUGCCAGUGAUCAAGCAGGCUAAAUCCUUCUGGGAAGGAGAUUAGGGGAAGGGAGGGGGAUAACGAACGCUGUGUACAAGAUGAAGCCUGGCGACUCGAAUGUGGUGGACUGCUUCUAAUGUGACGUUGACAGGAAAACCGGGCAGUUUGUCAGAAAGGUUUAAAUAAGAAAUUAUGUGGUUAGGUGUGUUUAGUGGAAACAGCGGAAGUGUUCAAAGGACAUCUCUGCCACAAAUUCUAGGGUGGUCGUGCCCUGAGAAUGUGUUGGUGAUGAGUCCAGCAGUGGCACAGGUGACUUGGACUUGUUUAAAUUUGGGGAUGUUUUCACUGUUGACAUGUCUCCCUGACUUACUGUAGAUAUGACUUCAAGAGGCCAUUGUAUGACCUCGUUGGGUAGCUGAUUAGGUAUACAGUGAAAGAAAAGGAUGGUUUUACAGAGAAAUAAAUGUUUUGAAGUUUUUUGCACAUGUAAUUAAAAGUUUAAUGUUUCUGUAGAAAGCAGAAUCUUUUAUAAUUCUAUUUAUUCACCUAAAACAAUGGGCUGGACAUUUUGGUUCCAGUGAGACUGAGUUCCAUUGAGUGAUGCUAAACUGGUCUCUUUGUGCUACUUUUUUCCAUUUGCUUUUUCUUCCCGUUCAUUCAUCCUGCAUCUGCUCCCCCCCAGAUCUCAGUCCCCACCCCCAACCCUCCUCCCCAAUAUAAAACAAUUGCUAUCUGCAGACUGAAAGUCCGAGAUUUCAGUCUAGCCGUCCUUAAAAAUUGGGUUUGUGGCACCCGUUGACUGCACUCUUGUAAUGAAAAGUUAAUUUGCACAACUUCGUCAAAGCAUUAUGAAAGUCUUGAAUGGAGCAUUGAGUACUCUUGGUGGUUAAUAACUUAUCAGUGCUCUGCCACCACUUAGCAGUUGGCUACUUGGGCUUAUUCUGCAAGGAAGAAGUCUUCUAGAGCCAGUACAGUCGGCAUGAAGUACAUUUUGUUUUGUUGUGUUCCUCUUGUAACUUGUAGAAGUAAUAUAGAAGUGUACUUUGUGACACGAAUCGACAGAGUUUCUAAAUACUUUUGAUAUUUGUAAACUUUUUUUAGUCUUACAGUUUUCAAAGGGGAAAAUGUCACGUAUCAAACGCUGUUUAACUGUGUGUUCGUUGUUGCUCGGGCCGUUCCUGCUUAUUUUUUGAAAAGUCUGAAGAAGAAGGAAAAAAAAAACACACACAAAGCCUGACCUUGACCCCGGGAAAAUAAUUUGAACAGAGUCCAAGACAAUUGGGUGCCAAUCAUGUCUGACACUAAAUCUGACCUUGUCUGACCUCUGGAACGCAUUUUGAGCUAUGCAGUGAAGUAGAACGGGCAGAACAUUGACCUUUUCAGCUUCUCAAUCCUGAGUUUCAAUCCAGCUCAGACUGGUGGACUUAGAACCCCCUUCACAAUUGUGAAGGGGAGUCUGAGGAAGGUGGAGAGUGGGCGGGAGGGGGGAGAGAAGGGGGAGGGGGGUGGGAGGGUUGAUGGUGUCAAGUCAGUUCCCAGUGGACACAUCCAUAACACAAGCUGCCUGUAACAUGACUGGCACUAAUAGGGCAAUCUCCCUCUGAGAGGCCAGAGACGGGGUCAGCAGAAAUCAACAGGAGAUUUUUGCAGUUUAAUUUAACCCUUGCAUAGUUUAAUUUAACCCGCGGAUAGUUUUUCCACAAAGAAUGUGGUCACUUCUCAAGGAAAAAGUAAAGAAUUUAAAUCUAACUUUUCCGCAACGGUCUACCUUAAAAAUAAAUAAAUCUAGGUUUUGAAUUUGGCUUUGAUUGUAGUGAAGUUUUUGUUGAAUCCCAACAUUUCACCACUAAAAUUGGCAGUACCUAAGGUGUCAGAAAUAGUACUGGCAUAGGUUUUGGUUUGGCAAUUGAAAUUUAUUUAAUGUGUCUGUUGCAGAGAGGAAAGGGGUCUCUGGGAUUUUGAGCUGGCAGUGAAUAACGAUGGUGUGGAAAGUGGAGGUCUCUGGCGCAGCAGAUGGAGGGUUUUUUUUGGUGGUGUAUCUGACAGCUGUUGCUCUCUCUCACCAGAGACCCG
Long non-coding RNA from Amblyraja radiata (thorny skate), 2749 nucleotides. RefSeq lists it as uncharacterized. Lineage: Eukaryota; Metazoa; Chordata; Chondrichthyes; Rajiformes; Rajidae. The transcript is spliced from 3 exons. The record is from RefSeq and is a predicted model, not a curated record.